RNAcentral lists this long non-coding RNA (246 nucleotides) under Nicotiana benthamiana. RNAcentral's name for it is "long non-coding RNA (NBEN_LNC012795)". Lineage: Eukaryota; Viridiplantae; Streptophyta; Magnoliopsida; Solanales; Solanaceae. The record is from RNAcentral.
CUUUCUUCCUCUUGCACACAAUGUGAAAUGAGUUCAUUAAGAGUCCAUUUCUCCUUUAGGCAGUUGUAACUGACCUUAAACUGAUUAAAUUGUGCAGGGGGAGAGAUCAAAACUAAGUACACAAGCAGUUUAGUUUCGAAGGUAAUUCCAACUUGAGCGACUUUAGUUUCGAAGCAAUAUGGGACAUUUCUAAAAUGUACUCCCUUAUGUUUCCUUUGCCUUUAUACCUCAUGGAAACAAGUUUAN